RNAcentral lists this unclassified non-coding RNA (157 nucleotides) under uncultured Sordariomycetes. Its description in RNAcentral is "sequence contains ITS1". Lineage: Eukaryota; Fungi; Ascomycota; Sordariomycetes. The record is from RNAcentral.
CCGAGUUUCUACACUCACCAAACCCACUGUAAACGUACCCAAUCUUAGCCCCUCCGGCAGGCGGCCCCAGGGCGGGGCCUCAGCCUUAUGGCGCCUGCCGAAGGCGGCGCAACUUUUGCUCUUUAAAAUACAAUCUGAGACCUAAGACAAAAUAUCA